UGGCGGCAUGCCUAAUACAUGCAAGUCGAGCGGACUUGAUGAGAAGCUUGCUUCUCUGAUGGUUAGCGGCGGACGGGUGAGUAACACGUAGGCAACCUGCCCUCAAGCUUGGGACAACUACCGGAAACGGUAGCUAAUACCGAAUAGUUGUUUUCUUCUCCUGAAGAGAACUGGAAAGACGGAGCAAUCUGUCACUUGGGGAUGGGCCUGCGGCGCAUUAGCUAGUUGGUGAGGUAACGGCUCACCAAGGCGACGAUGCGUAGCCGACCUGAGAGGGUGAUCGGCCACACUGGGACUGAGACACGGCCCAGACUCCUACGGGAGGCAGCAGUAGGGAAUCUUCCGCAAUGGGCGAAAGCCUGACGGAGCAAUGCCGCGUGAGUGAUGAAGGUUUUCGGAUCGUAAAGCUCUGUUGCCAGGGAAGAACGCUUGGGAGAGUAACUGCUCUCAAGGUGACGGUACCUGAGAAGAAAGCCCCGGCUAACUACGUGCCAGCAGCCGCGGUAAUACGUAGGGGGCAAGCGUUGUCCGGAAUUAUUGGGCGUAAAGCGCGCGCAGGCGGUCAUUUAAGUCUGGUGUUUAAUCCCGGGGCUCAACCCCGGAUCGCACUGGAAACUGGGUGACUUGAGUGCAGAAGAGGAGAGUGGAAUUCCACGUGUAGCGGUGAAAUGCGUAGAUAUGUGGAGGAACACCAGUGGCGAAGGCGACUCUCUGGGCUGUAACUGACGCUGAGGCGCGAAAGCGUGGGGAGCAAACAGGAUUAGAUACCCUGGUAGUCCACGCCGUAAACGAUGAGUGCUAGGUGUUAGGGGUUUCGAUACCCUUGGUGCCGAAGGUUACACAUUAAGCACUCCGCCUGGGGAGUACGGUCGCAAGACUGAAACUCAACGGAAUUGACGGGGACCCGCACAAGCAGUGAAGUAUGUGGUUUAAUUCGAAGCCACGCGAACAACCUUACCAGGUCUUGCACUCGCUCUGACCGAUACAGAGAAUUACCGUUACUCCCGGACAGAGGAGACA
Molecule: ribosomal RNA, 1020 nt
Filed under: Paenibacillus sp. S3.1
Lineage: Bacteria; Bacillati; Bacillota; Bacilli; Caryophanales; Paenibacillaceae
Description: bacterial SSU rRNA
Rfam family: Bacterial small subunit ribosomal RNA
Source: RNAcentral